GAGGAUCACAUAGUAUAUUUUUUUACUAGAUAGAGACCGCAAUUAGCUAGUUAAUCAGCUUACAAAAUAUUUCUGAAAAAGCGAGAAUUCCAUCCAAAAAAGAACGUGUGGCGUUCGUCGACGAAGGACUAAACGUUUUGAGCUUCGUUCUAGCAUCCCAAGUGUUCGCUUCGGAUUGCUCGGACCUGAAGUGGGUGGAUUUAAUAAUCAAUGCUGAGUUCGAGAAUAUCUGAAUUCGUUAUCCUCGGAAGGUACCUAAAAGAAAUUUGGCUGCUUUUAACAUUGCUUCAAUUUCAGUUAACAGUGCAUUAUGAACAUCUUUGAUAAAAUUCAAAACUCACAAGCAGUAAACACCUUGCUGGUUAGUAAUGAAAAAACUAGGGAUACUUGCCUAUAUACCCCCCAUACGUUUGAAAAUAUCCGAUUUAUUCUUUUUUUUUUCUUUCUAAAAUAUCCGUCAUAUGUUCCACCGUUAUUGCAAAAUACUCCAGCAGUUAUCACCUGUUAAGUUAACUUGGAUUAAACGUGAGUUAAAUAUCUACCACAGUUAAAAAAAAUUAAAAUGUUAAUUUUGCCCUUAAUUUAAGGGCAAAUAAGAAAUGUUGGUGACGGUAUAAGGGUAUAUUUGAAAUGAUCAAAAGUAAAAUACCUUUUGCGCGCCUAACUUAAGAGCAAAUAAGAAAAGUCGGUGAUGGUGAAAGGAUAUAUUUGAAAGGCAAAAUAGUAAUUUUAUACAGAUAACAUAGUUAAAAAAAAAAAAAAAAAAAACAUAGUUCAUUUUAUACAGAUAACAUAGUUCAUUAAUCCCUCCGGAAGCGCUAGCUGCUUCCACCCUGUUUCGCCUAGUUCACUUCCACUUAAUGAAUGAAGCGGGUAGCUUGCUACCUUUUCUCAAAAAAAACAUAGUUCAUUAAUAGAUUUUAACUUUAGACGUAUAUUUGAAAUAGGUUGGGACGUAAAAAGGGUAUUUUCAAUAUUAACCUUCUAAGAGAGGAAAAUCAGAAAGUCGGAAACUUUUUAGAAGUAUAUAAGCAAUUGCCCCAAAAAACUAAUUCCACCCUAGCUAAUUAAUCACCACCUUUCUAGCUAUCAUCUACCUAGACC
This 1104-nucleotide long non-coding RNA is filed under the name Ananas comosus (pineapple). Its description in RNAcentral is "long non-coding RNA (ACOM_LNC016294)". Lineage: Eukaryota; Viridiplantae; Streptophyta; Magnoliopsida; Poales; Bromeliaceae. The record is from RNAcentral.